Molecule: long non-coding RNA, 651 nt
Organism: Cyprinus carpio carpio
Lineage: Eukaryota; Metazoa; Chordata; Actinopteri; Cypriniformes; Cyprinidae
Source: Ensembl
UUUUUGUUUUUGUUUUUUAAAGAAAGAUCAAACAAAACACUGAAAGAACAUCAUGAGGUUUGAAGUGGAGUAUUCAAAGACUUGUAGUUUUCCCUGGAGAACAUCACGUGAGAACCUCAGCCUUCAGCUAAGAGCCUCUAAUGCUCCGUUUUGAUUUUUUGGAUUAGAUCUUUCACUUCUUCACAUCUGCGAUCAGCGUGAUCCCACCCGUCCUGAAAUGACCUGCUCAUGAUUUCCAAAACUCUACCGUCACGUGCAUUUCUGCAAAAACAAGAGAAGUUCAAUUUCACAAAUUGCAAAACUAAUUUGUCUUAACUGUGUUUCGUUCCCUAGAGUUUUGCUUCAACUGAAGUGUUUUCCCAAGUAUCAAUGAAAUCUCUCAACUCCCACUGACUUCCUUUGCUGCUGCUUUCAUCUCUUUUCUUUUACUCUUUUCCAGCGUAUAGGUGCUCCGGCUGUGAACGAUGAAGUAACGUGUGAUGUUGCAGAAAUGCGUGAAUGUUAAUGCGACGGUUCAUACAGAGGUCACAUGGUGAAUUGGAUGUGCAUCGGAUUCAGGAUCCCCAAGUGGCCCGAAUCUGAUGUUAACUGAUGGACUGGAGUGCUGUGGAUUACUUGUGGAAUAUUGUGAUGUUUUUAUCAGCUGUUUGG